CUCUUAAUCGGACCGCGUAUGUAUUAAAUAGCACCUAAAUGGCUAAGUGAACGGUAAAAGACUAUGCUUUUUCUGAAAAUCACCCACACAUGAUAGAAACUGCCGCACGGGUGCUUGGAGGUGUUCCACUGAUUGGUCCUACUUCUUUGCUUUCUGUCUGUUCAUUGUUCCUGUCUGCCUUGUUUUCCUCCAGCUCUAAACCAAUUAAAAGACCAGUAUCAAGUUCAUGAGCUUCUCUUUACACAAAACAAAAACAAAACAAAAACGGAACAGCGUUGAAUUAAGCUGGUUGAAAGACUCCUGCUGCGAGAUCUAACAGCAGAACGAAGAAGGUGUAGAACAACACAUUACACAUGACUCCUUGUACUUAGUGACCUAGUUAGUGUGUUGUUUUUUUAUAACUAUCGUUUUCGAAGCACGGCUAAGCUUAAGUCUUAGCUUGCGAAAAUGUCAGCUGCACCUUUUCCUUCAGCGCAGAUAAAGAAAGAUAAUAAUAUACGUACUUGUUUGAAAUCAUAGUCUCUGUCUUUUUCACAGCGCUCUGACUCCUAAAGUGAACACACCCAGCCUCAGAAGCUGUAAUUAACGGUGCACAUUUUAGUCUACUCUGAACGAAUCUCUAACCAUGUUGAGGUCAUAUCUACUCCUUUUCGUCACAUUUGUUUUGUAUAUUGCAGUUGUGGUGGCACCUAACCCAUUCUUCUUGGACAAAGUAUUCAAUGCUUGUACUGACAUCUGGAGUAACUGCAAAGAUCAAAACCCCGACGACUGUGAGGACGACACAGUUUUGACUUUCAACUGCCCAAGUACUUGCUCGAGAGCUUGUAACGGCAGAUAGCGGCACAGAAAAGGGGGCGUCUGAGCAGAGCAUUUGUCAGGGCAUCUAGACCAGAGCACUCGCCAAGCUAUCUGUGUGGAUGUGUUCACGUCAUCAUGACGCGAUAUUUGACAUGACACCGGUUUACACACUCUGUUCACGCAUUGACUGUUCUUGUAUCUCUCGUUAUUUCCAGUUAUCACUAAAAAUACAUUGAUAACGUU
Long non-coding RNA from Aplysia californica (California sea hare), 1041 nucleotides. RefSeq lists it as uncharacterized. NCBI's taxonomy places the organism in Eukaryota, Metazoa, Mollusca, Gastropoda, Aplysiida, Aplysiidae. The record is from RefSeq and is a predicted model, not a curated record. The transcript is spliced from 2 exons.